CCUACGGGUGGCAGCAGUGAGGAAUAUUGGUCAAUGGGCGCGAGCCUGAACCAGCCAAGUAGCGUGAAGGAUGACUGCCCUACGGGUUGUAAACUUCUUUUAUAAGGGAAUAAAGUGUGGGACGUGUCCUAUUUUGUAUGUACCUUAUGAAUAAGGAUCGGCUAACUCCGUGCCAGCAGCCGCGGUAAUACGGAGGAUGCGAGCGUUAUCCGGAUUUAUUGGGUUUAAAGGGUGCGUAGGCGGGCUUUUAAGUCAGCGGUAAAAAUUCGGGGCUCAACCCCGUCCGGUCGUUGAAACUGGGGGCCUUGAGUGGGCGAGAAGAAGGCGGAAUUCGUGGUGUAGCGGUGAAAUGCUUAGAUAUCACGAAGAACUCCGAUUGCGAAGGCAGCUUACUAAACUGCCACUGACAUUGAUGCUCGAAAGUGUGGGUAUCAAACAGGAUUAGAUACCCCUGUAGUC
RNAcentral lists this ribosomal RNA (459 nucleotides) under uncultured bacterium. RNAcentral describes it as "partial 16S ribosomal RNA". It matches the Rfam family "Bacterial small subunit ribosomal RNA", at positions 338 to 795 of the family's 1533-position model. The record is from RNAcentral.